AAUAGAUACCCUGGUAGUCCACGCCGUAAACGAUGAGUGCUAAGUGUUAGAGGGUUUCCGCCCUUUAGUGCUGCAGCUAACGCAUUAAGCACUCCGCCUGGGGAGUACGGUCGCAAGACUGAAACUCAAAGGAAUUGACGGGGGCCCGCACAAGCGGUGGAGCAUGUGGUUUAAUUCGAAGCAACGCGAAGAACCUUACCAGGUCUUGACAUCCUCUGACAACUCUAGAGAUAGAGCGUUCCCCUUCGGGGGACAGAGUGACAGGUGGUGCAUGGUUGUCGUCAGCUCGUGUCGUGAGAUGUUGGGUUAAGUCCCGCAACGAGCGCAACCCUUGAUCUUAGUUGCCAGCAUUUAGUUGGGCACUCUAAGGUGACUGCCGGUGACAAACCGGAGGAAGGUGGGGAUGACGUCAAAUCAUCAUGCCCCUUAUGACCUGGGCUACACACGUGCUACAAUGGAUGGUACAAAGGGCUGCGAGACCGCGAGGUCAAGCCAAUCCCAUAAAACCAUUCUCAGUUCGGAUUGU
RNAcentral lists this ribosomal RNA (526 nucleotides) under uncultured bacterium. Its description in RNAcentral is "bacterial SSU rRNA". It matches the Rfam family "Bacterial small subunit ribosomal RNA", at positions 777 to 1301 of the family's 1533-position model. The record is from RNAcentral.